Long non-coding RNA from Peromyscus eremicus (cactus mouse), 1120 nucleotides. RefSeq lists it as uncharacterized. The record is from RefSeq and is a predicted model, not a curated record. The transcript is spliced from 4 exons. NCBI's taxonomy places the organism in Eukaryota, Metazoa, Chordata, Mammalia, Rodentia, Cricetidae.
AGGUUCUAGAAUCCUGCACCUAACAACAGAAGCUUCCCAGUCCAUAGAACCUGGCAACUGAUGAGGUUCUUUUCAUCUAUUCCUCUUUCAUCUCAACCAAACUUAUUAGGACUUCUUCCAUAAUGAAACUCCUGUAAGACCUACCAUGAUGGAGUGAUGUGCAUAGCUCUUGUUCUGGCUCUGCUGUAGAAUCGUUUGUAAUGCUCAUCUUCUGAGACCACACAUAAUAAAGAGAACUCAAGGGCUCUCCAUUGUCUCUCAUAGACAAGGUUCUAGAAUCCUGUGCCUUGCAACAGAAGCCUCCCAGUCCACAGAACCUGGCAACUGAUGAGGUUCUUCCCAAGUAUUCUUCAGCCAUCUCAACCAAACUUAUUAGGAUUUCUUCAAUGUGACUCCUGAAGACUUACCAUGACACAGUGAUGUGCAUAGCUCUAGUUCUGGCUCUGCUGUGGAAUCAUUGGUAACACUCAUCUUCUGAGACCACACAUGAUAAAGACAACUCAAGGGCUCUCCUUUGUCUCUCAUGGACAAAGUUCUAGAAACUUGUACCCAACAACAGAAGCCUCCCAGUCCACAGAACCUGUCGACUGAUGAGGUUCUUCUCAUCUAUUCCUAUGCCAUCUUAACAAAACUUAUUAGGACUUUUUCCAUGAACCAGGAUCACUCUUGUAAUGGACUCUUAGAAAAGUAAGAGAAUAUUGACAGCAAGACCAUACAGUUGAAGACACCACAUUUUCAAAUCAUGGAGCACAUAGAAAUCUCUCUGGUAUUCACCUGGAAGCUUUAGCUCUACUGAUGAGCUUACAUGGGGAUGGAGGGUGUUAUGUAUGUGAUCAGAGAAAAUUUAUCAUUAAUCUUAUUCAUCUGUGAACUCUGUGUGCUACACAGUAAUAGCCUGCCAUUCAAGAUAAGCCUACUGGUGCAAUAGUGGCAUGAAUAUGAUAUGAAUCAUCAACCACUUCUCUUUAUUAGAUUUAAGGCCCACCCAUGAGAUACAAGUCAUACUUGACACUGUCACCAAGGCUGCGAUCCAGAGGCUAAACAGGUCAUGAGCUUUAGGGCAGAACCUAUUCCCUUUACUCCACUAAAUGAAUAUAGCAUUAAAAUGAUUCCUAAUGAA